Molecule: long non-coding RNA, 766 nt
Organism: Balaenoptera acutorostrata (minke whale)
Lineage: Eukaryota; Metazoa; Chordata; Mammalia; Artiodactyla; Balaenopteridae
Exons: 3
Source: RefSeq, a predicted model, not a curated record
CCAAAGCCCAAAGGAAGGAGGAAGUGCGAGCCUUGCUCCCCAGUGACUCACUACAUCCUUUGGGGCAAGUCAACUCUCACCCGGGCAGGAAGCCUGCCCUCCUUCCCCCAGGGGAUCCUCUGCCCUGGGUCAGCCUAUUCAAAACACCGACCCAAUUCGCCCACCCACACCCUUCGUUCUUCUACCUCGAGAUGUUUGCAGAUACCUGCCUGGGUCCACAAGUACACCUGUCUCUCCCCUUGGGCAGCGAGCAACUCGAGGGCAGGGACGGGGCCCUGCAGAUGUGUGUUGCUACCACUCCACAUGGCUCCAGCUCUGAGGGGAGGCACUGCGGUCUGGGGUUUGAGAGCAAGGCCUGGACAUCAGUGUGGAUACUAGAAGAUUUUCAAUUACACAGGAGGCUUGCAUUUGUGACUUGCAUGAUGUUUUUAUUGGCCAGCACUGCUAUGGACCUUAUCUGGAUUCUGAUUCAAAGGAUUAAUCAUCUCAUUUAAUUCUCAUUUUGUAGACAAGGAAAAGCUAAAUAUUCCACUGAAUGAUACAGCUCAAAAGAAAUACAAGACACAAUGUAAACCAUCCUUUCCUCUACAAUCCAACAGUUAAAAGGCAUUUUAAUGACAAUUCGGGGAAAAUUAAUUAUGGAUAGACUAUUAGAUAAUCAUAAGGCAUUCCUGUUGAUUUUGUUAUGCAUUGUUUGGCCUUGGGGUUAUGUAAGAAAAAGGCCAUAUUUAGAGAGGCACCCUGAAGAAUGUGGGGCUGAAGUGAC